This 121-nucleotide ribosomal RNA is filed under the name Sphingobium sp. The record is from RNAcentral. Lineage: Bacteria; Pseudomonadati; Pseudomonadota; Alphaproteobacteria; Sphingomonadales; Sphingobiaceae.
CUUGGUGACCAUAGCGUCAGUGACCCACCCGAUCCCAUCCCGAACUCGGCCGUGAAACCUGACUGCGCCGAUGGUACUGUGGCUCAAGCCCCGGCCCCGGAAGAGUAGGGCGUCGCCAGGC